This 119-nucleotide ribosomal RNA is filed under the name Pteropus alecto (black flying fox). Lineage: Eukaryota; Metazoa; Chordata; Mammalia; Chiroptera; Pteropodidae. The record is from RNAcentral.
GCCUAUGGCCAUGCCACCUUGAACAUACCCGAUCCUGUCUGAUUUCAGAAGCUAAGCAGGGUGGGGCCUGGUUAGUCCUUCGAUGGGAGACCACCUAGGAAGACUGGAUGCUGUAGGUG